CCCAGUGAGAAAGACACCUUUUCUCUUGGCCUCCUGUGGAAUCUCCAUAGCGUCUUCCAAAUAUACAUUAAGGUGUCCUUUCGAGCUAGAGAGCAGUGAAGAUGCGUACGGCAGACGUGACAAUGAGCGCAGUGGAUGCCGUGACUGACGGGAGAAGCAUUCUGCCAGAAGAUGCCGAAGGGUGGCUCCGGGGGCCUGGAGCGGGGACGGGACCCAGAGCUGUUAAAGAGAACACAGUCGUGGACACGUAAGUGGCGGUGUGGACGGAGCAUCAGCCGUGUGAACAGCAGCAGUCAGUCAGAGCCUACUGAGAUACCUCUCAGUGAAAACCUCAGAAAGCUUUGAGAAACGACAUGGGACAAAAUGACAAGAGAAGGGAAGAGUCACCAAGCCACCGAGGCUGAACUCAUCGCUCGGGGCGCACUUCAGGUCUGGAUCAUGCAAGUUUGCAGACCCUCCUCUGUUUUCUGAGACGACUACAGGCGUGAGUGCUGUCUUUGUUCUUUUUAAAGAAGAUUUACUUAUUAAGUAUAGAAUGGUCUGUCUGCAUGCAUGCCUGCAGGCCAGAAGAGGGCACCAGAUCUCAUUACAGGUGGUUGUGGAACACCAUGUGA
Molecule: long non-coding RNA, 614 nt
Organism: Arvicola amphibius (Eurasian water vole)
Lineage: Eukaryota; Metazoa; Chordata; Mammalia; Rodentia; Cricetidae
Exons: 3
Source: RefSeq, a predicted model, not a curated record